GCUGGGCAUGGUGACGUGCACCUGUAAUCCCAGCUACUUGGGAGGCUGAGGCAGGAGAAUUGCUUGAACCCGGGAGGCGGAGGUUGCAGUGAGCCGAGAUCAUGCCACUGCACUCCGGCCUGGGUGACAGAGCAAGACUCUGUCUCAA
This 148-nucleotide non-coding RNA is filed under the name Gorilla gorilla gorilla (western lowland gorilla). Lineage: Eukaryota; Metazoa; Chordata; Mammalia; Primates; Hominidae. The record is from Rfam by way of RNAcentral.